AUUGAACGCUGGCGGCAGGCCUAACACAUGCAAGUCGAACGAGUGGCGGACGGGUGAGUAAUGUCUGGGAAACUGCCUGAUGGAGGGGGAUAACUACUGGAAACGGUAGCUAAUACCGCAUACCCUCAGAUGUGUCCAGAUGGGAUUAGCUAGUUGGUGGGGUAACGGCUCACCAAGGCGACGAUCCCUAGCUGGUCUGAGAGGAUGACCAGCGACACUGGAAAGGAGACACGGUCCAGAUGCAGACGGGUGGCAGCAGUGGGGAAUAGGGCACAAGGGGCGAAAGCAUGAUGCAGCCAUGCCGGGUGGAUGAAGAAGGCCUGCGGGUUGUAAAGUACUUUCAGAGGGGAGGCGUUAUCCGAAGAAGAAGCACCGGCUAACUCCGUGCCAGCAGCCGCGGUAAUUC
Molecule: ribosomal RNA, 406 nt
Filed under: uncultured bacterium
Lineage: Bacteria
Description: partial 16S ribosomal RNA
Rfam family: Bacterial small subunit ribosomal RNA
Source: RNAcentral